RNAcentral lists this microRNA precursor (86 nucleotides) under Pelodiscus sinensis (Chinese soft-shelled turtle). RNAcentral's name for it is "miRNA (ENSPSIG00000020308.1)". Lineage: Eukaryota; Metazoa; Chordata; Testudines; Trionychidae. The record is from RNAcentral.
UUCCUAGUGUGUGUGUAUAUUUUUGUAUAUAAUAUUUAAUGUACACACACACACACACACACACACACACACACACACACACACAC